AUUGAACGCUGGCGGCAGGCUUAACACAUGCAAGUCGAGCGGAGAGAGGUAGCUUGCUACUGAUCUUAGCGGCGGACGGGUGAGUAAUGCUUAGGAAUCUGCCUAUUAGUGGGGGACAACAUUUCGAAAGGAAUGCUAAUACCGCAUACGUCCUACGGGAGAAAGCAGGGGAUCUUCGGACCUUGCGCUAAUAGAUGAGCCUAAGUCGGAUUAGCUAGUUGGUGGGGUAAAGGCCUACCAAGGCGACGAUCUGUAGCGGGUCUGAGAGGAUGAUCCGCCACACUGGGACUGAGACACGGCCCAGACCCCUACGGGAGGCAGCAGUGGGGAAUAUUGGACAAUGGGCGCAAGCCUGAUCCAGCCAUGCCGCGUGUGUGAAGAAGGCCUUAUGGUUGUAAAGCACUUUAAGCGAGGAGGAGGCUACUUUAGUUAAUACCUAGAGAUAGUGGACGUUACUCGCAGAAUAAGCACCGGCUAACUCUGUGCCAGCAGCCGCGGUAAUACAGAGGGUGCAAGCGUUAAUCGGAUUUACUGGGCGUAAAGCGCGCGUAGGCGGCUAAUUAAGUCAAAUGUGAAAUCCCCGAGCUUAACUUGGGAAUUGCAUUCGAUACUGGUUAGCUAGAGUGUGGGAGAGGAUGGUAGAAUUCCAGGUGUAGCGGUGAAAUGCGUAGAGAUCUGGAGGAAUACCGAUGGCGAAGGCAGCCAUCUGGCCUAACACUGACGCUGAGGUGCGAAAGCAUGGGGAGCAAACAGGAUUAGAUACCCUGGUAGUCCAUGCCGUAAACGAUGUCUACUAGCCGUUGGGGCCUUUGAGGCUUUAGUGGCGCAGCUAACGCGAUAAGUAGACCGCCUGGGGAGUACGGUCGCAAGACUAAAACUCAAAUGAAUUGACGGGGGCCCGCACAAGCGGUGGAGCAUGUGGUUUAAUUCGAUGCAACGCGAAGAACCUUACCUGGCCUUGACAUAGUAAGAACUUUCCAGAGAUGGAUUGGUGCCUUCGGGAACUUACAUACAGGUGCUGCAUGGCUGUCGUCAGCUCGUGUCGUGAGAUGUUGGGUUAAGUCCCGCAACGAGCGCAACCCUUUUCCUUAUUUGCCAGCGAGUAAUGUCGGGAACUUUAAGGAUACUGCCAGUGACAAACUGGAGGAAGGCGGGGACGACGUCAAGUCAUCAUGGCCCUUACGGCCAGGGCUACACACGUGCUACAAUGGUCGGUACAAAGGGUUGCUACCUAGCGAUAGGAUGCUAAUCUCAAAAAGCCGAUCGUAGUCCGGAUUGGAGUCUGCAACUCGACUCCAUGAAGUCGGAAUCGCUAGUAAUCGCGGAUCAGAAUGCCGCGGUGAAUACGUUCCCGGGCCU
This 1359-nucleotide ribosomal RNA is filed under the name uncultured bacterium. RNAcentral's name for it is "bacterial SSU rRNA". It matches the Rfam family "Bacterial small subunit ribosomal RNA", at positions 28 to 1381 of the family's 1533-position model. The record is from RNAcentral.